Molecule: transfer-messenger RNA, 353 nt
Filed under: Planctomycetota
Lineage: Bacteria; Pseudomonadati
Also listed under: 1 other name
Description: QQUA01 sp008501825 Standard tmRNA
Rfam family: transfer-messenger RNA
About the family: Bacterial tmRNA, also known as 10Sa RNA or SsrA, is named for its dual tRNA and mRNA-like properties. Its role is to liberate the mRNA from a stalled ribosome.
Source: RNAcentral
GGGGGCGAUCGGUUUCGACUGGAAGCUGUUCGGCUUGCGGUGGCGUGCCGAGGUUGCCGGGAUGGCCUCGUUAAUCCCCCGGCAAAGGCAUCAACUGCCAACAACAACUACGCUCUCGCCGCCUAGUAAAGGCGGUACGCCGUAACGGACCUUGCUCGAGGGGACGUCACGGCGCACGAAAUUCGAGCUAGCGGCCGGCGUGCCCGACGCCGAUCCGUGAAACCUUAGGGCUGGUUCGACGAGCAGCUUGUCCGGGAGCGGCGCGGCGAACGAGAUCAAAGCACGGACUACGCACGUAGAAGCCCAUUUCGACCCUUCUCAGGACGCGGGUUCGAUUCCCGCCGCCUCCACCA